This 479-nucleotide ribosomal RNA is filed under the name uncultured bacterium. RNAcentral describes it as "partial 16S ribosomal RNA". It matches the Rfam family "Bacterial small subunit ribosomal RNA", at positions 28 to 507 of the family's 1533-position model. The record is from RNAcentral.
GAUGAACGCUAGCGGGAGGCCUAACACAUGCAAGCCGAGCGGUAUUGUUUCUUCGGAAAUGAGAGAGCGGCGUACGGGUGCGUAACACGUGUGCAACCUGCCUUUAUCUGGGGGAUAGCCUUUCGAAAGGAAGAUUAAUACUCCAUAAUAUAUUGAACGGCAUCGUUUAAUAUUGAAAGCUCCGGCGGAUAGAGAUGGGCACGCGCAAGAUUAGCUAGUUGGUGAGGUAACGGCUCACCAAGGCGAUGAUCUUUAGGGGGCCUGAGAGGGUGAUCCCCCACACUGGUACUGAGACACGGACCAGACUCCUACGGGAGGCAGCAGUGAGGAAUAUUGAUCAAUGGGUGCAAGCCUGAACCAGCCAUCCCGCGUGAAGGACGACUGCCCUAUGGGUUGUAAACUUCUUUUGUAUAGGGAUAAACCUACCCUCGAGAGGGUAGCUGAAGGUACUAUACGAAUAAGCACCGGCUAACUCCGUG